UUCUUCAUUCUUGAAGUUUCCAAUGCCAUUCUCUCAUUCUCCCAUGGAAAACUAAUUUUCUUUCAUUUUCUUUCCUUGUUUUCUUUUCAUUUCUUUUCUCUUCUUGCUUCAUUCUUCUCCCAACUUCUUGUGCACCAAAGUUACAACUUCUAACCCAAAUUUCCAGCACAUAUAAACUCUAGGAGAAGAAGAAAGAAAAANNNN
This 204-nucleotide long non-coding RNA is filed under the name Theobroma cacao (cacao). Its description in RNAcentral is "long non-coding RNA (TCAC_LNC000821)". The record is from RNAcentral. Lineage: Eukaryota; Viridiplantae; Streptophyta; Magnoliopsida; Malvales; Malvaceae.